CAGACUAGAUGGUCUCUUGGAAACUAAAUGAAAAGAUCUUGGGAUGGUCUAGACAGACUAGAUGGUCUCUUGGAAACUAAAUGAAAGGUUCUUGGGAUGGUAUAGACAGACUAGAUGGUCUCUUGGAAACUAAAUGAAAGGAGCUUGGGAUGAUGUAGACAGACUAGAUGGUCUCUUGGAAAUUAAUUGAAAGGUGCUUGGGGUGGUGUAGACAGACUAGAUGGUCUCUUGGAAACUAAAUGAAAAGAUCUUGGGAUGGUCUAGACAGACUAGAUGGUCUCUUGGAAACUAAAUGAAAGGUUCUUGGGAUGGUAUAGACAGACUAGAUGGUCUCUUGGAAACUAAAUGAAAGGAGCUUGGGAUGAUGUAGACAGACUAGAUGGUCUCUUGGAAAUUAAUUGAAAGGUGCUUGGGGUGGUGUAGACAGACUAGAUGGUCUCUUGGAAACUAAAUGAAAGGAGCUUGGGAUGGUCUAGACAGACUAGAUGGUCUCUUGGAAAUUAAUUGAAAGGUGCUUGGGAUGGUCUAGAUAGACUAGAUGGUCUCUUGGAAACUAAAUGAAAGGUGCUGUUCAGAGUAAAGAUGUCAUGCCAUUAUCAGUAACUUAAUAGUCGAACCUGUUAUAUUAUCAACCAGAUGUGCACGGAACUGGACCAACCCUGUAGUAGAGAAAGAAUGUUGACUAUAAGAAGUGUAAGAAUCUGUUGUACACAAAAAAUCAGAUGUGUAUUUGUAUUCAAGAUAUGUCUGUGAAUUGCAAACGUCAAUCUGAUUCAGACUCUGACUAGUUAGAGUGCAAGGUGGUGUUCAUCAACAACAUUUCAUUGGUAAAGUUUUAUUGAAAUAUUGAAAUCAGGCCUUUGUCAGUUGAUACUUUUAGAUAAUCUUGUUUGUUUGUUUUUUGUGCUUUAUAAACAGGACAUAUCUACUGUGAGUACAACAUUCCUUGCUUGGUCAUUUUGUGUUUGUUUUUUUUCCAGCUAAAUUUUAUCCAUGAAUAUAUGAAAAGCUAUACUAGAGAUUCUUCGAUUAAUAUACAAAUGCAGGAUCAGAUCUUGAAAGAGGUUCAAUGUUUUUCCCUUGCCUCACACCUCUUUUGGACUUUGUGGAGUAUCGACAAUGGAUAUUGUUCUACCAUCAAAUUUGGUUACUGGGAGUACGGUUGUGAAAGACUAGAAGCUUAUUUAACUCUGAAGUCGAAACUUCUGAAGUCAUAAAGAAAACAUUCAUCAGAUUAAAAAUACUUCCAGGAAACUCGAGAUAGUGUCAAGAUGUGAAGCCAUUGGUUAUAGUGAUGGAUUAUGUUAUUGUUUUGGAAAAAUGCAGAUCAAAUGUUGCAGUGUUUUUUAUUGUAAGUAAUGUAUAUGUACGUAAGAUGCUAAAUUUGGAAACAUGAGUCAGUCGUUAAUAUCUAGUGACAGUUUUUCUAAUUUUAAAAAUAUGUAUAGAUCUUAUUUAUCAAUAAGAAAGACAACUGUUGUUCGCAAGUGAUAUUAUUACAAAUAAUUAUUUAUUGUUUAUAGUGAGUAUAUCCUUUCAAUGUGUACUUGUGAUACGUUACGUAUUCAGAGCAUUCCAGCUUUUGAUGAAUAUGUAUCAAGAUAUGUCAUCUAAGAAAAAACAUUUUAAAAAUAGGAAAAAUUACAGUGGCUUUCAUGGUGCUAGUUAUUAAGUUUAAGUUACGUUUAUUUAAGUUACUGACAGUUGGACAGAUCAUUUCUUCUUGUAGUUGGUUUAGUCAUAUAUUUUAAUAUGUAAAUUAUAUUCACACCUCGAGUUAUCCAAUUGAUAGUGGCACCAUUAUUUAUUGUUUUUAAUCUUUAUUUCUUGCAAUAGUUCCUGGUUUAUGUCCCAUCAUAGUCUUAUUUUAUACAGUUGAUUCUAAAAUUAUCCCCUAUUAUUACAUAAAAAGAGCAGUCAGGUUUUUAACUUUAUUAAUAUCACUUUAAAAUCUUCAUAUUUUACAUAGAAAUAAGAUGUAGAAGUGCUUGUUGCUUUGUGAGAAACAUUGUGAUAUCCAAGUUGUUUUCUAAAGAUUUGGCUUUAAUUAUAUAUUUAUAAUGAUAAAUAUGUACUUAUCUUUUUUUUCUGUGUUCUCCUUUGAGUUUCAUUUAGUUGUGGUAAACAGUAUUUUCAAAUGAAAUCAUCUUAAUUUUAAGGAGCUGAAAACUGUCAUGUGUUAUUUAGCAUUUGAAAGUUUUUUUGAUUAGAAUAUAUUUUUUAAGAUUUAUUAGUAGAUUUCUUUCCACCUCUAACGCAUAUAAGAUCCAUAAUUUAACGUAUGUGAUUUCUCCUAUUGGGAAGAGAAGUCUAUUUCUGAAACUGAUUUCACUGAAACCAAAGGGAUCAGACUUAAAGUGUAUUUUUAACAGUGAAACAUUGAUUCUUAUCAAAACACCAUAACAUCACUGCUGUUCCAUCGUAUCCUCAGUCUAACGUUUUUUUUUGUAACUAAGGCCCGAUGAUCCUAAUUGUUUCCGUUAGUCCUGUGGCAUCUGAUUGGUUUACUUACUUGAAAGCUUUCAUGUACUAUCCCACCAUUUGAAAUCAGUUGAGAUCUGUUUUUUUUUGUAACUAAGGCCCGAUGAUCCUAAUUGUUUCCGUUAGUCCUGUGGCAUCUGAUUGGUUUACUUACUUGAAAGCUUUCAUGUACUAUCCCACCAUUUGAAAUCAGUUGAGAUCUGUUUUUUUUUUGUCGUUAUAUCUGUUAUUCUGGAAAACUAGUUAUUUCCUUAAUGAUUUAUUUUCAGUUCAUGUCUGAGAAGCGUUGUUGACUCCUAUUACAUGAACUGCUGUUUCUGUACCUUGCUUUUCUACAAAGAAUAUUCCUCUGUAAUUAGAUGUUUAAUUUCCUGAUUCGUUAACUUGCAUGAUACAUGUUGACAAGUGUUCUGUGUUGCAGUUAUAAUAGUUUUAAUAAAAUCUUGUUUCUCUUGUACGUUCUUUUGGUCGCCUCUAUUUAUCCCCUGUAAUAAACAGGUAUUUGCAUCUGCUAUAUUCUUGUAGUCUAUUGUGCACGACUUUGCACGUCCACUAUCACUGCAAGUUGCUUGUUUUACAGCUGGAGUAUCACAUUAAAGUGAAAACUCUGCCUUAAUGUGUUUUCCAGAGAGAGAGAGAAAGGUGUUAUUGAGCAAAACAUAAAACAGCAUCUGUUUGUCAAGAAUAAUCAUGAAUGAGCUCUAACCAGAAUGAUAUGGAAUCACACCUUGAAUCUCUUGAAGAUAUGUUGUUAUUAUAGGUGUCUUAUGGUCCUUCUGUUUAAAGAUUUCCAUCAACAGUACCACUGAAUGUAGUUAUUGUGAAUAGUUUUGAUGUUUUACAUUCAACUCCAUUCAAGAUAAAAUAAAUUCUCUUCCUGUACUACAACAGUUCUUAAGAACAAGGCAUUACUAAUGUGUAAAUCAGUGCAAUAUAGGCGACCUGUACAAAACAAAUAAAUGUUAAAUACAAGCCAAUUAAUAGUAGGUCAGAAAUAAAUAAAUGUGUAGAAAAUGUUGUGUGAAAUAUACCAAAGAUCUAAACUUAAAACACUAACCCGUGUGACUGAGUUGGAGACAAUAAAACACUAACCCGUGUGACUGAGUUGGAGACAAUAAAACUAACCCGUGUGACUGAGUUGGAGACAAUAAAACACUAACCCGUGUGACUGAGUUGGACAAAAUAAAACACUAACCCGUGUGACUGAGUUGGAGACAGUAAAACUAACCCUUGUGACUGGGUUGGAGACAAUAAAACACUAACCCGUGUGACUGGGUUGGAGACAAUAAAACACUAACCCGUGUGACCGAGUUGGAGACA
Molecule: long non-coding RNA, 3801 nt
Organism: Limulus polyphemus (Atlantic horseshoe crab)
Lineage: Eukaryota; Metazoa; Arthropoda; Merostomata; Xiphosura; Limulidae
Exons: 2
Source: RefSeq, a predicted model, not a curated record